AUUGAACGCUAGCGGGAUGCUUUACACAUGCAAGUCGAACGGCAGCGCGGACUUCGGUCUGGCUGCGAGUGGCGAACGGGUGAGUAAUGUAUCGGAACGUGCCCAGUAGCGGGGGAUAACUACGCGAAAGCGUAGCUAAUACCGCAUACGCCCUACGGGUGAAAGCUGGGGAUCGUAAGACCUUGCCCUAUUGGAGCGGCCGAUAUCGGAUUAGCUAGUUGGUGAGGUAACGGCUCACCAAGGCGACGAUCCGUAGCUGGUUUGAGAGGACGACCAGCCACACUGGGACUGAGACACGGCCCAGACUCCUACGGGAGGCAGCAGUGGGGAAUUUUGGACAAUGGGGGCAACCCUGAUCCAGCCAUCCCGCGUGUGCGAUGAAGGCCUUCGGGUUGUAAAGCACUUUUGGCAGGAAAGAAACGUCGCGGGCUAAUACCCCGUGGAACUGACGGUACCUGCAGAAUAAGCACCGGCUAACUACGUG
This 484-nucleotide ribosomal RNA is filed under the name uncultured bacterium. RNAcentral's name for it is "partial 16S ribosomal RNA". It matches the Rfam family "Bacterial small subunit ribosomal RNA", at positions 30 to 507 of the family's 1533-position model. The record is from RNAcentral.